AGUGUGUGAGUGGCAACUUAUACGCGUAAUGAAAGUGAGGCCGUAUGGCCAUGUUGGGGUCACCAACAACCGACCUUGAUCUUCGGUGAAAGGUUUGAGUAUGAGCAUAUCCGUUAGGACCCGAAAGAUGGUGAACUAUGCCUGAGCAGGGUGAAGCCAGGGGAAACUCUGGUGGAGGCUCGUAGCGAUACUGACGUGCAAAUCGUUCGUCAGACUUGGGUAUAGGGGCGAAAGACUAAUCGAACCAUCUAGUAGCUGGUUCCCUCCGAAGUUUCCCUCAGGAUAGCUAGAGUCUUUAUCAGUUUUGUCAGGUAAAGCGAAUGAUUAGAGGUUCCGGGGAAGUAACUUCCUCGACCUAUUCUCAAACUUUAAAUGGGCAAGAUCCAGUAGUUACUUAAUUGAACUAUUGGGGUCAAUGAGACGACUCUAAGUGGGCCAUUUUUGGUAAGCAGAACUGGCGAUGAGGGAUGAACCUAACGCUCGGUUAAGGUGCUAAACUGCUCGCUCAUCAGAUACCACAAAGGGUGUUGGUCGAUCUUAACAGCAGGACGGUGGUCAUGGAAGUCGAAAUCCGCUAAGGAGUGUGUAACAACUCACCUGCCGAAUCGACUAGCCCCGAAAAUGGAUAGCGCUGAAGCGAGUGACCGAUACCGGGCCAUUGUUGCAAGAUAAUUGGCAACAAUGAGUAGGAGGGCGUGGGGGUUGUGAAGAAGCUUGGACGUGAGUCUGAGUGAAACAGCUUCCAGUGCAGAUCUUGGUGGUAGUAGCAAGUAUUCAAUAAGAGAACAUUGAAGGCCGAAGUGGGGAAGGGUUCCAUGUGAACAGCACUUGGACAUGGGUUAGCCGAUCCUGAGAGACAGUUAAAUUCCAUCGGAUGGAGCUUUGGCUCUGUUCUCGAAAGGGAGCUGGUUAGUAUUCCAGCGCCGAGACGUGGAUAUAUGUGGCACACAGUGACUCGACACCCAUAGGGACCCAGGAGCGUUGUCUUUCUUUUACAGUC
This 1000-nucleotide non-coding RNA is filed under the name Perkinsus marinus ATCC 50983. Its description in RNAcentral is "Eukaryotic large subunit ribosomal RNA". It matches the Rfam family "Eukaryotic large subunit ribosomal RNA", at positions 689 to 1711 of the family's 3401-position model. The record is from Rfam by way of RNAcentral. Lineage: Eukaryota; Perkinsozoa; Perkinsida; Perkinsidae.